AGUGCUUUGCUAAUGACUGACCGGUGUGGAUGUAUAAAAGUCCAGCUCCGUGAUCUCAGACUUCCGGCCUCCAGAACUCAGGCCCUGACAUUGUAUAAGCUUCAGGCCCCACAAAACCUGGAUCUGCCCUGCCAGGAUCAGCAUCUAGAGGAAAACUACUACUUCCACAAUAGCACAACCAAUCUGAUCAUCCCUGCAUCAGUGAGCAUUCUCCAGAGAAACAGAGCCAACAGGAUAUGUGUAUAUAUGUGAAGAAAGACUUAUUUUAAGGAGUUGGCUCAUGCAAUUAUGGAGGUGCAAGUCCAAAAUCUGUAGGGCAGGCAGAUGGGCAGACUGGAGACCCAGAGAAGAGUUG
Molecule: long non-coding RNA, 355 nt
Filed under: Homo sapiens (human)
Lineage: Eukaryota; Metazoa; Chordata; Mammalia; Primates; Hominidae
Description: LNC_000132
Source: RNAcentral